GCCCUGCCACAAACAGGAAAAGGAAGAGGUGAGUUUUCAUGGGUUACUUGCUCCCUCCAGCCUCCCAAGUUUUCCACUCGGCUGAAACUUUGACAGCGCCUGAUAAUCCAUCAGGGGGCUUUCCCCCUUUCCUCUCGCCUCCCGCGCUGACCACCUCCAGGAACCCAGCCUCUGUCUGUUGGCUGCCCUUAAUGGUCCGGACUUCCUCUUUUCACACGGACCCCGGAAAAGUUUCCCACCCCUCGGUUCCCUUGGGUGAGCCCCGUCAGGGGAGGUUGCCUCUGCAGCUCGCCUGGAAGGAGAGGGAGUCAAAAGGUAAAUUAUUUAUUAAAGCGGAGGAUAAUAAGGGAUCAGCACAAUUAUGAAUUGACAGUGUUACCUGCGGCUCCUGGAAAGGCAGAGCUGGACGGCGAGAGGGAGAGGCGAGGAGAAAGCGC
Lacerta agilis (Sand lizard) is the source of this 437-nucleotide long non-coding RNA. RefSeq lists it as uncharacterized. The transcript has 3 exons. Lineage: Eukaryota; Metazoa; Chordata; Lepidosauria; Squamata; Lacertidae. The record is from RefSeq and is a predicted model, not a curated record.